AUGGCCGCCUCCCUCGAAGACCUCCGCAACGAGAGCAUCGAUCUCGAGGCGAUCCCGAUCGCGGAGGUGUUCCAGGUGCUCAAGUGCAAGCCGCACGGGCUCACCUCCGAUGAGGCCGCCAGCCGCCUCCAGGCCUUCGGCCCCAACAAACUCGAGGAGAAGAAGGAGAGCAAGUUCCUCAAGUUUUUAGGGUUCAUGUGGAACCCUCUGUCGUGGGUCAUGGAGGCGGCGGCGAUCAUGGCCAUCGCCCUCGCCAACGGCGGCGGCAAGCCCCCCGACUGGCAGGACUUCGUGGGCAUCGUCACCCUGCUCAUCAUCAACUCCACCAUCAGCUUCAUCGAGGAGAACAACGCCGGCAACGCCGCGGCGGCGCUGAUGGCCAGCCUGGCGCCGCAGACCAAGGUGCUCCGGGACGGCAAGUGGGCGGAGCAGGACGCGGCGAUACUGGUGCCGGGCGACAUCAUCAGCAUCAAGCUGGGCGACAUCAUCCCGGCGGACGCGCGGCUGAUGGAGGGCGACCCGCUCAAGAUCGACCAGUCGGCGCUCACCGGCGAGUCCCUCCCCGUCAACAAGCUCCCCGGCGACAGCGUGUACUCCGGCUCCACGUGCAAGCAGGGCGAGAUCGAGGCCGUCGUCAUCGCCACCGGCGUCCACACCUUCUUCGGCAAGGCCGCGCAUCUCGUCGACAGCACCAACAACGUCGGCCACUUCCAAAAGGUUCUUACUGCGAUCGGCAACUUCUGCAUCGUGUCCAUCGCCAUCGGCAUGCUGGUGGAGAUCGUCGUCAUGUACCCGAUCCAGCACCGCCGGUACCGCGACGGCAUCGACAACCUGCUCGUGCUCCUCAUCGGCGGCAUCCCCAUCGCCAUGCCCACCGUGCUCUCCGUCACCAUGGCCAUCGGCUCCCACAAGCUCUCGCAGCAGGGCGCCAUCACCAAGCGGAUGACGGCCAUCGAGGAGAUGGCCGGCAUGGACGUGCUCUGCAGCGACAAGACGGGCACCCUCACGCUCAACAAGCUCACCGUCGACAAGAACAUGAUCGAGUCCUUCGUCAAGGACGUCGACAAGGACGCCGUCGUGCUCUAUGCCGCCAGGGCGUCACGGACUGAGAAUCAGGACGCCAUCGACGCCUCCAUUGUCGGCAUGCUCGCCGACCCCAAGGAGGCCCGCGCCGGCAUCCAGGAGGUGCACUUCAUGCCGUUCAACCCCGUCGACAAGCGUACAGCCAUCACCUACGUCGACUCCGACGGGACAUGGCACCGGGUCAGCAAGGGCGCUCCGGAGCAGAUCAUCGACCUGUGCGGGCUGCGCGAGGACGUGCGGCGGCGGGUGCACGGCAUCAUCGGCAAGUUCGCCGACCGCGGGCUGCGGUCGCUAGCGGUGGCGCGGCAGAGCGUGCCAGAGCGGAGCAAAGAGGCCAAGGGCGCACCGUGGCAGUUCCUGGCCGUGCUGCCGCUGUUUGACCCGCCGCGGCACGACAGCGCAGAGACCAUCCGUCGCGCGCUCCAGCUGGGCGUCAACGUGAAGAUGAUCACCGGCGACCAGCUGGCCAUCGGCAAGGAGACGGGCCGUCGGCUCGGCAUGGGCACCAACAUGUACCCGUCGAGCUCCCUCCUCAAGGACGGCGACAGCUGCGGGCUCCCCGUGGACGAGCUGAUCGAGAAGGCGGACGGCUUCGCCGGCGUGUUCCCGGAGCACAAGUACGAGAUCGUGCGGCGGCUGCAGGAGAUGAAGCACAUCUGCGGGAUGACGGGCGACGGCGUGAACGACGCGCCGGCGCUGAAGAAGGCGGACAUCGGCAUCGCCGUGGCCGACGCGACGGACGCGGCCCGGAGCGCGUCGGACAUCGUGCUGACGGAGCCCGGGCUGAGCGUGAUCAUCAGCGCCGUGCUGACGAGCCGCGCCAUCUUCCAGCGGAUGAAGAACUACACCAUCUACGCCGUGUCCAUCACCAUCCGGGUGGUCCUCGGCUUCCUCCUCCUGGCGCUCAUCUGGAAGUUCGACUUCGCGCCCUUCAUGGUGCUCAUCAUCGCCAUCCUCAACGACGGCACCAUCAUGACCAUCUCCAAGGACAGGGUCGUGCCGUCGCCCACCCCCGACUCGUGGCGCCUCAAGGAGAUCUUCGCCACCGGCGUCGUCCUCGGCGCCUACCAGGCCAUCGCCACCGUCGUCUUCUUCUGGGCCGUGCACUCCACAGACUUCUUCACGAGUAAGCUCCACGUGCACCCGAUCGGCCGCAACACGGAGGAGCUGAUGGCGGCGGUGUACCUGCAGGUGAGCAUCAUCAGCCAGGCGCUCAUCUUCGUGACGCGGUCGCGGGGGUGGUCGUUCCGGGAGCGGCCGGGGGCGCUGCUCUUCGGCGCUUUCCUGGCGGCGCAGAUGGUGGCGACGCUGAUCGCCGUGUACGCCGACUGGCCGUUCGCCAAGAUGAAGGGGAUCGGGUGGGGGUGGGCGGGCGCCAUCUGGCUCUUCACCAUCGUCACCUACUUCCCGCUGGACGUGCUCAAGUUCGCCAUCCGCUACUUCCUCUCCGGCAGGGGGUGGAGCAACGUGUUCGACGGCAAGACGGCGUUCGCGCAGGGGGUCGACUACGGCACCGACAAGCGCAAGGCGGAGUGGGCCGUCGCGCAGAGGUCGCUACACGGCCUGCACGCCUCCAGCGGCGGCGAGGCCUCCUCCUCCGGCGUCUUGGAAGACAAGAGCGACAUCUCGGAGAUCGCCGAGCAGGCCAGGCGGCGCGCCGAGAUCGCCAGGCUGCGGGAGCUGCACACGCUCAAGGGCCACGUCGACUCGGUGGUCAAGCUCAAGGGGCUCGACAUCGACAACAUCAACCACAACUACACCGUCUGA
This 2850-nucleotide ribosomal RNA is filed under the name Triticum aestivum (bread wheat). RNAcentral's name for it is "partial small subunit ribosomal RNA". The record is from RNAcentral. Lineage: Eukaryota; Viridiplantae; Streptophyta; Magnoliopsida; Poales; Poaceae.